Molecule: ribosomal RNA, 424 nt
Filed under: uncultured bacterium
Lineage: Bacteria
Description: bacterial SSU rRNA
Rfam family: Bacterial small subunit ribosomal RNA
Source: RNAcentral
UGGGGAAUAUUGCACAAUGGGGGAAACCCUGAUGCAGCGAUGCCGCGUGAGUGAAGACGGUCUUCGGAUUGUAAAGCUCUGUUGACAGGGACGAUAAUGACGGUACCUGUUUAGAAAGCCACGGCUAACUACGUGCCAGCAGCCGCGGUAAUACGUAGGUGGCGAGCGUUGUCCGGAAUUACUGGGUGUAAAGGGAGCGCAGGCGGGGAGCCAAGUUGGAUGUGAAAUACCGCAGCUUAACUGCGGGGCUGCAUCCAAAACUGGUUCUCUUGAGUGAAGUAGAGGUAGGCGGAAUUCCUAGUGUAGCGGUGAAAUGCGUAGAUAUUAGGAGGAACACCAGUGGCGAAGGCGGCCUACUGGGCUUUAACUGACGCUGAGGCUCGAAAGCGUGGGGAGCAAACAGGAUUAGAUACCCGCGUAGUCC